GGGGCAGGUAGGAGCCCCAUAAAGGCUGCCUGGAUGAGGCUGUUGGUCUCGUCAAGGUCUAGUCUCAGGCUUGCAACAACUUUGGGGAAGUCCACAAAAAAGAAAUGGAAAACUUUGGAAGAACAGCACCUUUGAUAAAACACAUAGAGAGAAAAAGGAGCCAGGAGUAUACAGAAGAAACAUCAAGGGUAUCUUCUGAGGACGAAUCCCUUGCCUGGCACUCCCCAUGGAGAUCAUCAUCCUCCUCACCCGCCACAAGCACUGCCAACAUUGCUUUUCCAGUGGCUGCCACCACCGCUGCCACCACCGCUGCUUCACUACAAGAAUAUGCUGCAACUACUGAUUCACCAAAGGGUGCUGGGGCCGCAGCCGCCGCAGCCGCCGCAGCCGCCGAC
Long non-coding RNA from Betta splendens (Siamese fighting fish), 395 nucleotides. RefSeq lists it as uncharacterized. Lineage: Eukaryota; Metazoa; Chordata; Actinopteri; Anabantiformes; Osphronemidae. The record is from RefSeq and is a predicted model, not a curated record. The transcript has 3 exons.